RNAcentral lists this ribosomal RNA (480 nucleotides) under uncultured bacterium. Its description in RNAcentral is "bacterial SSU rRNA". It matches the Rfam family "Bacterial small subunit ribosomal RNA", at positions 37 to 507 of the family's 1533-position model. The record is from RNAcentral.
UGGCGGCAGGCCUAACACAUGCAAGUCGAGCGGUAACGAUUUCUAGCUUGCUAGAAGAUGACGAGCGGCGGACGGGUGAGUAACGCGUAGAAAUCUACCUAGUAGUGGGGGAUAGCCCAGAGAAAUUUGGAUUAAUACCGCAUACGCCCUACGGGGGAAAGCGGGGGAUCUUCGGACCUCGUGCUAUUAGAUGAGUCUGCGUCGGAUUAGCUUGUUGGUGAGGUAAUGGCUCACCAAGGCGACGAUCCGUAGCUGGUCUGAGAGGAUGACCAGCCACACUGGAACUGAGACACGGUCCAGACUCCUACGGGAGGCAGCAGUGGGGAAUAUUGCACAAUGGGCGCAAGCCUGAUGCAGCCAUGCCGCGUGAGUGAAGAAGGCCUUAGGGUUGUAAAGCACUUUCAGCAGUGAGGAAAGGGGUGUCGUUAAUAGCGCCAUCCUGUGACGUUAACUGCAGAAGAAGGACCGGCUAACUCCGUG